GGGCUUGACAUCCCACGAACCUGCUGGAGACAGCGGAGUGCCUUCGGGAGCGGAGAGACAGGUGGUGCAUGGUUGUCGUCAGCUCGUGUCGUGAGAUGUUGGGUUAAGUCCCGCAACGAGCGCAACCCUCACCCCUUGUUGCCACCAGGUUAUGCUGGGCACUCUAGGGGAACUGCCCCGGUCAACGGGGAGGAAGGCGGGGACGACGUCAAGUCAUCAUGCCCCUUACGUCCUGGGCUACACACGUGCUACAAUGGCCGGUACAGAGGGAUGCUAGACCGCGAGGUGGAGCUAAACCCAAAAAGCCGGUCUAAGUUCAGAUUGGAGUCUGCAACUCGCCUGCGUGAAGGUGGAAUCGCUAGUAAUCGCAGAUCAGCACGCUGCGGUGAAUACGUUCCCGGGCCUUGUACACACCGCCCGUCACACCACGAAAGCCAGCUGUACUCGAAGUCGCUGAG
RNAcentral lists this ribosomal RNA (458 nucleotides) under uncultured bacterium. RNAcentral's name for it is "bacterial SSU rRNA". It matches the Rfam family "Bacterial small subunit ribosomal RNA", at positions 977 to 1434 of the family's 1533-position model. The record is from RNAcentral.